GUGAGGAAUAUUGGACAAUGGGCGCAAGCCUGAUCCAGCCAUGCCGCGUGCAGGAUGACGGUCCUAUGGAUUGUAAACUGCUUUUGCACAGGAAGAAACAACGCUACGUGUAGCGUCUUGACGGUACUGUGAGAAUAAGGAUCGGCUAACUCCGUGCCAGCAGCCGCGGUAAUACGGAGGAUCCAAGCGUUAUCCGGAAUCAUUGGGUUUAAAGGGUCCGUAGGCGGUUUAGUAAGUCAGUGGUGAAAGCCCAUCGCUCAACGGUGGAACGGCCAUUGAUACUGCUAGACUUGAAUUAUUAGGAAGUAACUAGAAUAUGUAGUGUAGCGGUGAAAUGCUUAGAGAUUACAUGGAAUACCAAUUGCGAAGGCAGGUUACUACUAAUGGAUUGACGCUGAUGGACGAAAGCGUGGGUAGCGAACAGGAUUAGAAACCCGAGUAGUCC
RNAcentral lists this ribosomal RNA (445 nucleotides) under uncultured bacterium. RNAcentral's name for it is "bacterial SSU rRNA". It matches the Rfam family "Bacterial small subunit ribosomal RNA", at positions 354 to 796 of the family's 1533-position model. The record is from RNAcentral.